GAUGAACGCUGGCGGCGUGCCUAAUACAUGCAAGUCGAGCGAACAGACGAGGAGCUUGCUUCUCAGCCGUUACCGGCGGACGGGUGAGUAACACGUGGAUAACCUACCUAUCAGACUGAGAUAACUGCGGGAAACCGGAGCUACUACCGGAUAAUAUAUUCAACCGCAUGGAUCAAUAGUGAAAGACGGCUUUGCUGACACUUAUAGAUGAUUCCCCGCCGGAUUAGCUAGUUGGUAACGUAACCGCAUACCAAGGCAAGGAUGAAGAGCCGACCUGAGGAAGUGAUCGGGCACACUGGAGCUGAGACACGGCCCCGACUCCUACGGGAGGCAGCAGUAGGGAAUCUUGCAGGAAGCAGGAGAGCAUAACGGAGCAACGCCGCGUGAGUGAUGAAGGUCUUCGGAGCGUAAGAAUAUGUUUUUAGGAUAGAACAAAUGUGUAAGUAACUAUGCACGUCUUGACGGUACCUACUCAGAAAGCCACGGCUAACUACGUG
Molecule: ribosomal RNA, 497 nt
Filed under: uncultured bacterium
Lineage: Bacteria
Description: partial 16S ribosomal RNA
Rfam family: Bacterial small subunit ribosomal RNA
Source: RNAcentral